CGAGAGAACCCAAAUAUGACCGAGUGGGAUCGGUUUGCACACAGAGAAUAUAUUAGGCUUUCAAUGGAGGAAGAUGCUGAAGAUGCCUCCAAUGGAAGUCCUGAUAUGUGGGAUGAAUCACUUGAAGCUCCCUUUUAACUUUUUGUUGUUGGAUACAAGGCAUACAGAAUCAUGUUUGGCCUGGCUAUUGAACAUCAAAGGGCAAAUUGUGCACACCAAAUCUUCAAGGGGAUGACCGGAGAUGACUCAAUCUGUCAAAUUCACAAAAAAAAAAAAUUGAAAAAAAAGGUCCCUUGAGAUUGAGGGACGAUUGAUAAUUCCUUCUACACAGAACUUGUUUAACCAAGUAAAGUUUCAUACUACACAAGCUCCUGGCUUGAAUACCGAGUCUCUUGUCAAGUCACGCAAAUGGUGUGAUUAAACAGAAGCAGAGUCUUGUUCACAGCUUGUAGAACUUUGUUCUUUGUCUAGAUGUAAGGAACCACACUUAUUACUUGUUCUAGAUAGUGCUUCCAAGAAUGUUUUUCUUAUAAGUGGUUCAGUUUUUCUUUUUUGGUUGGUAUAUAUAGGUUCGCUUUGUUAGGUUGUAAGGUUUCGUCUGUUUUUCACCUUUCUUUUCUUUGCAAUUGAGACAUUCAUAGCAGCCUGAAUAGUUGUGGCAGCCAUGUGUAAUGAUAUUUUCCAUUGCCCAAUACUUGGUCAUAGUAAUCUGUUUCUAAUGUAAUGGGCAUCACCCAUAAACUUGUUUGAGAGUUGAUAAAUAUGGCAAUCAGGAAGUUCCUUAGUUACUUGAUAAA
Ipomoea triloba (trilobed morning glory) is the source of this 797-nucleotide long non-coding RNA. RefSeq lists it as uncharacterized. NCBI's taxonomy places the organism in Eukaryota, Viridiplantae, Streptophyta, Magnoliopsida, Solanales, Convolvulaceae. The transcript is spliced from 2 exons. The record is from RefSeq and is a predicted model, not a curated record.